RNAcentral lists this unclassified non-coding RNA (252 nucleotides) under Hevea brasiliensis (rubber tree). The record is from RNAcentral. Lineage: Eukaryota; Viridiplantae; Streptophyta; Magnoliopsida; Malpighiales; Euphorbiaceae.
AAACCGCCGCCAGCAAUCAGCCUAAGGUCGCGAGUUCGCUUUUGAAACCUUAAACUGUCGUAAGGAAUGCCAGAACCAGGGGCAGAGCGCCAUACCCCCGUGCCACCGGAAUUCGCGGGAUUUCCAGCCCGGAAACCAGGGUUUUGAGGGCUUCGAGGGCUUCCGGCGGCGGCAGGCGCUCGGCGUCGGCGGCGUCGAGGUCCACCACCAGCCCCACGGGCGCUUCGGCGGCAAAGCCGAUGGUCCUGAUUC